Molecule: non-coding RNA, 971 nt
Filed under: Mirimiri acrodonta (Fijian monkey-faced fruit bat)
Lineage: Eukaryota; Metazoa; Chordata; Mammalia; Chiroptera; Pteropodidae
Description: partial 12S ribosomal RNA
Rfam family: Bacterial small subunit ribosomal RNA
Source: RNAcentral
CAAAGGUUUGGUCCUAGCCUUUCUAUUAGCCCUUAGUAAGAUUACACAUGCAAGUAUCCGCAACCCGGUGAAAAUGCCCUUCAAGUCACCUAGAGACUCAAAAGGAGCAGGUAUCAAGCACACUACACAGUAGCUCAUGACGCCUUGCCUAGCCACACCCCCACGGGAUACAGCAGUGACAAAAAUUAAGCCAUGAACGAAAGUUCGACUAAGCUAUACUAACUAUCAAGGGUUGGUAAAUUUCGUGCCAGCCACCGCGGUCAUACGAUUAACCCAAGUUAAUAGAUAUACGGCGUAAAACGUGUUAAGGAGAUAACCGCCUCAUAAUAAAGUUAAAUCCCAACUGUGCUGUAAAAAGCCCUAGCCAGGACAAAAAUAAACCACGAAAGUGACUUUAACCAAAUCCGAUUACACGAUAGCUAAGACACAAACUGGGAUUAGAUACCCCACUAUGCUUAGCCCUAAACCUAAAUAGCCAAUCACAACAAUGCUAUUCGCCAGAGUACUACUAGCAACAGCUUAAAACUCAAAGGACUUGGCGGUGCUUUAUAUCCCUCUAGAGGAGCCUGUUCUGUAAUCGAUAAACCCCGAUAAACCUCACCAACCCUUGCUAAUACAGCCUAUAUACCGCCAUCUUCAGCAAACCCUAAAAAGGAGACACAGUAAGCAAAACCAUUAAACAUAAAAACGUUAGGUCAAGGUGUAGCCCAUGAGUUGGAAAGAAAUGGGCUACAUUUUCUCACAUAGAACAUUUCACACGGAAAUUUUCGUGAAACCGAAAAUAGAAGGAGGAUUUAGUAGUAAAUUGAGAAUAGAGAGCUCAAUUGAAUUAGGCCAUGAAGCACGCACACACCGCCCGUCACCCUCCUCAAGUAUAAAGAUACAAAUUUUAAGCCUAACCAUAUUUACAAAUGUACACACGUACAAGAGGAGACAAGUCGUAACAAGGUAAGCGUACUGGAAAGUGCGCU